CACCUGGUUGAUCCUGCCAGUAGUCAUAUGCUUGUCUCAAAGAUUAAGCCAUGCAUGUCUAAGUAUAAGCUUUAAACGGCGAAACU
Perkinsus marinus ATCC 50983 is the source of this 86-nucleotide non-coding RNA. The record is from Rfam. Lineage: Eukaryota; Perkinsozoa; Perkinsida; Perkinsidae.